Molecule: non-coding RNA, 925 nt
Organism: Pelobates cultripes (western spadefoot toad)
Lineage: Eukaryota; Metazoa; Chordata; Amphibia; Anura; Pelobatidae
Source: the annotation of a GenBank genome assembly
CACCAUUUGCCUCACGCAGUGCAACACAUCUCCUUUGCAUAGAGUUGAUCAGGUUGUUGAUUGUGGCCUGUGGAAUGUUGGUCCACUCCUCUUCAAUGGUUUAUCAAAGUUGCUGGAUAUUGAAAGGACGUGGAGCACGCUGUCGUAUACAUGUCCGAUGAGUAUGCUGGCCAUGAAAGAACUGUGAUGUUUUCAGUUUCCAGGAAUUGUGUACAGAUCCUUGCAACAUGGGGCCGUGCAUUAUCAUACUGCAACAUGAGGUGAUGGUCAUGGAUGAAUGGCACAACAAUGGCCCUCAGGAUAUCAUUACGGUAACUUCAAAAUUCAAAAUGCCAUCAAUAAAAUGCACCUGUGUUUGUUGUCCAUUACAUAUGCCUGCCCAUACCAUAAACCCACCGGCCACCAGGGGCGAGUCUAUCCACAACGUUGACAUCAGGAAACCGCUCGCCCACAAGAUGUCAUACACGCUGUCAGCCAUCUGCCCUGUACAGUGAAAACCGGGAUUCAUCCAUGAAGAGAACACUUCUCCAAAGUGCCAGACACCAUCAAAUGUUUGCAUUUGCCCACUCUGGUUGGUUACGACGACAAACUGCAGUCAGGUCGAAACCCUGAUGAGGACGGUUUCCGACAGUUUGUGCAGAAAUUCUUUGGUUAUGCAAACCGAUUGUUGCAGCAGCUGUCCAGGUGGCUGGUCUCAGACGAUCUUGGAGAUGAAGAUGCUGGCUGUGGAGGUCCUGGGCUGGUGUGGUUACAUGUGGUCUGCGGUUGUGAGGCCUGUUGCAUGUACUGCCAAAUUCUCUGAAAAGCCUUUGGAGACGGCUUAUGGUAGAGAAAUGAGCAUUCAAUUCACAGGCAACAGCUCUGGUGGACAUUCCUGCAGUCAGCAUGCCAAUUGCACGCUCCCUCAAAACUUGUGACAUCUGUG